AGUAAAGCAAAAACUAUCUGUUUUGAGGAUGCGUUCAGCAAACGGAACACGGUGCAAUUCCGUGACGGUCCCGCCGCUGUAACCGGGUUACAACCUGCAAGCCCAAGGAUGGGCAGCCACUGAUGCCACGGCAUCGGGAAGGCGCAAGGGGAAAAACCGGAAGUCAGAAGACGUGCCGAACGCCGACCAUGGAG
This 194-nucleotide non-coding RNA is filed under the name Desulfatitalea sp. Lineage: Bacteria; Pseudomonadati; Thermodesulfobacteriota; Desulfobacteria; Desulfobacterales; Desulfosarcinaceae. The record is from RNAcentral.